RNAcentral lists this unclassified non-coding RNA (4834 nucleotides) under Hevea brasiliensis (rubber tree). The record is from RNAcentral. Lineage: Eukaryota; Viridiplantae; Streptophyta; Magnoliopsida; Malpighiales; Euphorbiaceae.
GAGCUUUGGAAAUGCACAUGGAAAUCAAAACAUUCAAAAUGAAGAAAUAAAUGGUAAUUUAAAUGCUGAACUUAAAGGAAGAAACCAAAAAAAGAAAGAGGAGGCUGAAUAUAAUUUUAUUUUAUUUCAUUUUAUUUUUGGUCUCAUACUCCUUUAUUUCACCAUGUCUAAUAAUUACGGUACAUUAUUCUACUACUGGAUUGAAGCAGUGUCUUGGCAGGGUCGUAUGAUGUUUAUACGUGCUGCUUCUGCAUACUUUGUUAUCAUAUACAUCUAAGUUUAUGUUACCUAAUGGAUGAUUACUGGUAAAGAUUAUAUGUUGUUUAUCUUUUCAAAUUUGCAUUUGGCAACUGAAUUCAAAAAAUAAAACGAGGAAGAGUAGAAUAAGAUGGCUAAAUUUAAAAGCACUACCAAAUUAGAUUGGGUCCUAGUGGUGGCAGUAGGCCACAUUGGACUGUUUCGGGUUAAAUCCCAACACCUAACCCAAUCAAAUUCAGGUUGUGUUAAGGUCACCCAGUUGGUUUGGAUUCCUUGGUUUUUGUAAUUUUUGGAAUUUUUCAGCUAAUACUCAAAAUAAUAUGGGUCACCUGGGUUUCCCAAGUUACAGCCCAUCCAAUCUUUAAAAUUUUUGGACCAAUUGGAUUUAGAGUGAGUUAGGAUCAUGCUUUAAUCGUAUCUUUUGGGCAGAUUAAGCUUGUAAUUCCAAAUUCCAGAAUUGUUGAAGUCAUGGACUCAUAGAUGUUGGAAGUAAAACAAAGGAUAUAUGGCUAGCAGUAUGACUAUUAAAAAGCACAAUCUGCACAUGCUCUGAGGUAACUCCUUUGGAAACAUAUAGAUCAAAAAAAAUAAAUUUAGAAUCAUUUAAUUACUUGUUGCUAUUUUGACGAAGGAGCAAAGCAACUACUUAUCAGAUGCAUUUUGAUUUAAUAUAUUGAGCUAUCAACUAAGUUCUUUGAUUGGCAGUGAACCACGGUGAAUGAAAGAUCGAAGUCAGGUCAUUAACAUUUAUAAAUGCAGGUGCCAGGACAGCCAGUUUCUCUCAUGAAAGAUCCCGGUAUCAAGUUGAGACGAGAGCAAGAGUGAUAAUUUUUGACAUUGCAGCUUUUGAAACUGCUACCGCUCUGCUGAGAAGGUCAUCUUCUUUCAUACCGCAUACAGGUGAUCAUCCCCAUAGACCUCUAAGCAGAGAACGUGGUCUUAUGAGUUGGCCUGAAAAUUUCUACAAGGAAAAACGGCACAAGCAGAAUCUUGAAAAUGGACAAGAAAAUAGUUUGCCUGCAAGAGCAAUGCAGCUGAGCAUUUUUGGCAGCAUGGUUGACGUGCAACGGCGUGCCCAUUGUUCUUCAAGCAGUCUAUACCAGCGAUCACAUAGCAUGUUCUCACGAGCUGCAUCACUUCGUGGCCGUCCGCUAGUUUCUGUUAGAUCAGAAGGAUCUAGUACUUUAAGGAAGAAUCUUCAGGGUGUAAACGCUUUCAUAGAUGUUCCUGCUCCGCCACUGAAGAGGACAGACACAAAUGAGAGCCGUGCCUUGCAUGAUUCCAGUGACGAAUCUGGUGCUGAAGACAAUCAAGUAAUGAUUGACUCACCAAGUACGCUUUCUUUCUCCAGACUACUUAGAUUUAUACUAUGCGUACAUGAAUUUUAUGGUUCCUAUGUUAAAAAUCCCUUUGUAGGAAGGCACACUGAAUAAAUAAGAUGGCUCCUCAAGGCUUCUGAGAUUUAGAAAAAGUGGCUUCAUUGGUGUUGAGCUUGAGAUUCAAAUCUGUACCUUUGCCUCCAUUAUUUAUGAUGGAAAUGCCGGUAUCCUUGUUUUGAUUGUUUAGGUAAGGGAUAAUAGGAGAAUAUUGAGGAAUUAUGAAGCAUCUCAUUUACUAAAACUAGCACAGUCCAUGCAGUUCACUAGAUUUUCAUGAGAAAAUUUUCCUUCUGGAAUAUACUGGGGAGUCCAACAAGCUAAUGAAUCAAAUUCCCUUGAGGCUAAGAGACUUCUGCAUUAUAGUGAAUCAUCUGUUCAAGCGUCGCCUUCAGUGGGGGAAUGAUGGAUUAUGUGGCGUUUAGAGUCAAAUUAAGAUGUCCUUAUUUCACCAUUUGUGUAGCUUUCACUUUCUAAGCUAAGGCUUAGUUGUUGUUUACUCUCGAAACCACUCCCAAUUCUUUUAAUUUAAUGCAACUGAAAACUUGGCCAAAAUAUUCCUUUCAAUAGCCAAUGGACAUAUAGCAGACCUAGCAAAACUAUCCAAGAGGGAAAUAAGAGAAGAAACUAGUAGGCGUAGAGCAUAGAUUCUUUAUGUUGCAACCAUUUUAUUCAGAGUUAUGAGAAAAGCGAGUACUUCUCAAAUCACUUCUUUUUUCCAAUCUCCAUCAUUAGCUUAAGGUAGCAUAAUCUGAUUCAUUGGAAUUUAUACCCACUUGCAAAUUUUUUAAUGUAGAGCAUAAAAAAUAAACUAAAUAUUUGUUUAUAACUGAUAAUCAGAUGCACAGAGCUACUCUCACAAAACUGCAAAGAAAAGACCGUUCGUACAAUUAAAUGCUAUAUUCCAUCUUCCAUGCUAUAAUGUUUUCUGUGUACAACUAGUGUAGAAAAUGUAUAAUGUACAUGAUGACCUACCAAUUCAAGCUUCAUAUAGCAUUCCAACCUCAAUGCGUUGUGGUGGCGGCACCCCAAGAGCUGGCAGUGCAGGCCUGCAAUUGCUGUGCAUGACUUCAUAAAAUGCAAGCAUGAUUCUAUCAAACCAGCUACAGUUGUCGCCUGUAUAAAAUCUUGUCUUCCCACGAAUGUGAACCACACCAGCCAGUUUUGCCUCUUCAAAGGCAGAAAUCUCUUCCUGAACCUCUUGACGAUGAGAUGGUAAAGAGUUUCGAGAGUGUUGUAUAUGCUCCCGCAAGCUACUUGUAACUUGAUUUACAAAGUCAUCUCCUUCAAGAUUUAGAGAAUCUGCAUAGCCAUAAUGAAUCACACACCCAUACACUCCUUUGAGGCCCAAUUUGUUGAUAACAAUCCUCUCAUGUGCAGCAACCUUAGGAACCAACAAGUAUCUAAGUGUGGUGAAAAUAGUUACGUCGUGUAGAGAUUUCAUGUUUUUAAUAUAAUGUCCAAGCACAGGAGUCAGACCAUCUUGAAUAUUUGUGUAAAAGAAACACAAUCCAGGAACUCGUUGAACACCUGGAGUGGACAAUAGCAUUCCAAGUCUUCCCAAGUCUAUCUUGUGAAUUAACUCAUAGUCUAUUUUUCUCUGCCUCCCAUAGAACCAUACGAACAUGAUAAAAGCAAGAAAAAAGGAUAUGGCAAAUGGAAUCCAUCCCCCCUCAGGUAUUUUAGUUAAAACUGCACUGACAUAAACACCUUCCAUUGUAAAAAAUACAAAGAAGUAAAGUGCAACCAGCAAUGGUGGAGUCCUCCAUAUUAUGAUCAUGACUAGUGUCAGUAAUAUUGUGGUAAUAAGCAUUACCAGGCUAACAACAACACCAAAUGCAUUUCCAAUGUCUUUUCCAUCUCCAAAAAUAAGUAUAACAGCAACGCAAAGGAUCAUAAGGAUGUAAUUGACUUCUGGGGAGUAAACUUCCCCCUCUUUAUUAGCUGAUGUAUGCACCACCUUAACCCGAGGGAAAUAGUCCAGUACUACUGAUUGCUUGAUGACAGAAAAGGUGGCUGAUAUCAGUGACUGGCUUGCCACAAUUGCAGCCAAUGUGGCAAUCACAAAGAUUGGCCAAUAAAUUGGCUUAGGUAUAAACUUAUAAAAUCCAUCAUUGUGAUCAUUAGGGUUCUUGAUAAGGUAUGCCGUUUGCCCCGCAUAUGUCAGAACAAGUGAUGGAUAUAUUGUAAAUAAAAAAGCCAGCUGAAUAGAACUCCUAUUAAAAUGACCCAGAUCUGCAAACAUUGCCUCUGAGCCUGUGAUACAGAGAAUAGUGCCACCAAGCAACAGCCACCCUUCCUUUCCAUUUCUCCAAAAGAAGCGGACUAUGUAGUGCGGUGAUAAAGCUUUGAAGAUGCUAGGAUAAUGCUGUAUGAUGCUAUAAAUCCCCACUAGUGGAGUACACAAGGUCCAUGCACCCAUGAUAGGGGAAAAGAGAAAACUAACUUUUGAGGUGCCAAACUUUUGUAAUAGAAACAUAACAACCAGAAUGACUGCUGAGAGAGCUUCCACCAAAGAUUUCUUGACAGCAGGAAAUGGUGCUCUUAUUCCAUCCAUUGCAGACAACACUGAGAUUGCAGGCGUAAGUAUCCCAUCUCCAAUUAGCAUACAUGUUCCCAACAUAGCAAUGAAAAGUAGCAGCCUUCUGGAAAAAAUGCUUCUUUCAAAAAAUUUUCCAAGCCUACACUUAUUCUCUGUGCCUUCUUGCAAGACAGGUAUUGAGUAACUUGGGUUUGACUCUACACGUUUUGAAGAAAGGAUUCCAAUAUUUACAUAUCUGCAGAGCAGGGAGUACAAGGCAAAUGUUCCACCUUCGCCAUGAUCAUCAGCCUUAAGGGCUACGCAGCUAUAUUUGACUACCCCAAUGAGAGUUAGAGUCCAAAACAUGAUGCUAUAGAUUCCCAAAUAGUCCUCCUCCGUUGGAGAAUUCAAAGGCAUUGAUGGGUACACAUACAACGGUGACGUCACAAGGCCUCCAAACACCACUCCUAAUGUCUUGUAUGCUAAUACCAAUUUUCCCCACCGUCCGCUCUCCAUGGGGUGGCACUGAUAACGAGGUGGAGUGAAAACGGUAGUAGUGGAGUCCAUAACCACCUCAUUCAUGGUCGCCGGUGAAUCUACUGCAGCCCUGGUUUCCACUCCUUCCAUAAACACACUGAGAUAUUAAUAAAUUGGACACUGAAACUGGGCUCUUUAUUGC